This 253-nucleotide ribosomal RNA is filed under the name uncultured bacterium. RNAcentral's name for it is "partial 16S ribosomal RNA". It matches the Rfam family "Bacterial small subunit ribosomal RNA", at positions 524 to 776 of the family's 1533-position model. The record is from RNAcentral.
UACGGAGGGGGCUAGCGUUGUUCGGAAUUACUGGGCGUAAAGCGCGCGUAGGCGGCUUUGUAAGUUAGAGGUGAAAGCCCGAAGCUCAACUUCGGAACUGCCUUUAAGACUGCAUCGCUUGAACACGGGAGAGGUGAGUGGAAUUCCGAGUGUAGAGGUGAAAUUCGUAGAUAUUCGGAAGAACACCAGUGGCGAAGGCGACUCACUGGACCGUUGUUGACGCUGAGGUGCGAAAGCGUGGGGAGCAAACAGG